RNAcentral lists this ribosomal RNA (235 nucleotides) under Rhipicephalus sanguineus (brown dog tick). Its description in RNAcentral is "partial 16S ribosomal RNA". The record is from RNAcentral. Lineage: Eukaryota; Metazoa; Arthropoda; Arachnida; Ixodida; Ixodidae.
AGGUAUUGAAAUAAGAUUUUAAUUGAAUGCUAAGAGAAUGGAAGUCGCCAAGAAAAAAACGGUUUUUUUAAAUUAAAAAUUGAAGUUUUUUUAAUUGGUGCAAGAAACAAUUAUUUAUAUUAAAGACAAGAAGACCCUAUGAAUUUAUUAAAUUUUUAUUUAAUAUGUAAUUACUAUUAGAAAAAUUUGGGCUGGGGGCGGCUAGAAAAAUAUUAUGAACUUUUUUAAAAAUAAA